UCUUGAAACUUUGGAAUUGUGGAGGGCAA
RNAcentral lists this non-coding RNA (29 nucleotides) under Mus musculus (house mouse). Lineage: Eukaryota; Metazoa; Chordata; Mammalia; Rodentia; Muridae. The record is from RNAcentral.